Molecule: non-coding RNA, 73 nt
Organism: Parelaphostrongylus tenuis
Lineage: Eukaryota; Metazoa; Nematoda; Chromadorea; Rhabditida; Metastrongylidae
Source: the annotation of a GenBank genome assembly
GCGUCUGUGGUGUAACGAUUCAGCGCGCGCUCCCUGAAAGAGUGAGAUGUGGGUUCGAGUACCGGCUGACGCA